UGCCAGCAGCCGCGGUAAUACGUAUGUCCCAAGUGUUACCCGGAAUUACUGGGUGUAAAGGGUCCGUAGGCGGAUAAAUUAGUCAGGUGUGAAAGACCGAAGCUUAACUUCGUGUUUGUGCUUGAAACUGUUUAUCUAGAAUUAGGGAGAGGUAAGCGGAAUUCUAAGUGUAGGGGUGCAAUCCGUAGAUACUUAGAGGAACACCAAAAGCGAAGGCAGCUUACUGGAACUAUAUUGACGCUAAAGGACGAAAGCGUGGGGAGCGAAAAGGAUUAGAUA
RNAcentral lists this ribosomal RNA (279 nucleotides) under uncultured bacterium. Its description in RNAcentral is "partial 16S ribosomal RNA". It matches the Rfam family "Bacterial small subunit ribosomal RNA", at positions 506 to 784 of the family's 1533-position model. The record is from RNAcentral.